Molecule: long non-coding RNA, 775 nt
Filed under: Junco hyemalis (dark-eyed junco)
Lineage: Eukaryota; Metazoa; Chordata; Aves; Passeriformes; Passerellidae
Description: lncRNA (ENSJHYG00000012682.1)
Source: RNAcentral
CGCUGAUGCCGCGGGCCGCAAGGUGUGCUCGGCCGGGCCGUGUUUGCGCGGGUGCCCGGGCAGCGCUGCGCUCCCCGGCAGCGCUGCGCUCGGCCCAGGGCUAUAAUUAGAUUAGCAGCCUGCUCGGCAGCGGUGCCAGCCUGCGAGCCUCAGCGAGCAUGUGCUGGAUUCUGCAUGUGCCUCCCGCUUAUUGGCGGCCGGCGUUGCUGCCUGCCGGUUUGAUAGGUUUCCCCAGUAAUCUUUAUGCUGCAUUACAGACAUAGAUACAGAGAGGUACUGCGUGCAUGCAACGGGAGAGGUGCUCAGCUUGUAGCGUAAAGGAAAGCCCACAGAUGAAAGGCACUGGUCUUUGUUGCAAGGCAUCAGUACUUAAGGACUGCUAGCCUGGGAGCGGAGAGGUCAGUGAAGGAGUUUUACUUGGUGAGUCCUCUGGAGCAUUACAUUCCCCUGUUUGGAGUGUGGACAAGAGUUUGGCAUUCUGCUUUUACAGAUCACUGCCGCUCGCUCCUGGAGCGCAGGGGGACGGCCAGACUCCCACAUCUUUCAGCGAGAAGAAAGGAGCCAGCGGAGCGGACUAAUACGGACUUGUGUCGGGUACCCUUGCCCUACAAAGGCUGCCUUUAAAAGAGAAACGCAGUGCUAUUUAAUGAGCUGUGAGAUGAGGCACUGCUGCUAACACUCAGAUCCCAGGAUUCAUCGGCUAUUCAUUGUGCUUAAUGUACAUGUUUCUGCACCGUGCAUUUAGGAGAUCCCAGAGAAGAAUCCAAAACGGCUG